This 77-nucleotide transfer RNA is filed under the name Haematospirillum jordaniae. RNAcentral's name for it is "tRNA-His". It matches the Rfam family "tRNA". Rfam says of the family: Transfer RNA (tRNA) molecules are approximately 80 nucleotides in length. Their secondary structure includes four short double-helical elements and three loops (D, anti-codon, and T loops). Lineage: Bacteria; Pseudomonadati; Pseudomonadota; Alphaproteobacteria; Rhodospirillales; Novispirillaceae. The record is from RNAcentral.
GCGGGUGUAGCUCAGUUGGUUAGAGCACCUGGUUGUGGUCCAGGGGGCCGCCGGUUCGAGUCCGGUCACUCGCCCCA